AACGAACGCUGGCGGCAUGCCUAACACAUGCAAGUCGAACGAGACCUUCGGGUCUAGUGGCGCACGGGUGCGUAACGCGUGGGAACCUGCCCUUAGGUUCGGAAUAACUCCCCGAAAGGGGUGCUAAUACCGGAUAAUGUCUUCGGACCAAAGAUUUAUCGCCUUUGGAUGGGCCCGCGUUGGAUUAGCUAGUUGGUAGGGUAAAAGCCUACCAAGGCGACGAUCCAUAGCUGGUCUGAGAGGAUGAUCAGCCACACUGGGACUGAGACACGGCCCAGACUCCUACGGGAGGCAGCAGUGGGGGAUAUUGGAAAGUGGGCGAAGGCAUGAUGCAGCAAUGCCGCGUGAGUGAUGAAGGCCUUAGGGUUGUAAAGCUCUUUUACCCGGGAUGAUAAUGACAGUACCGGGAGAAUAAGCUCCGGCUAACUCCGUG
RNAcentral lists this ribosomal RNA (433 nucleotides) under uncultured bacterium. RNAcentral's name for it is "partial 16S ribosomal RNA". It matches the Rfam family "Bacterial small subunit ribosomal RNA", at positions 29 to 507 of the family's 1533-position model. The record is from RNAcentral.